RNAcentral lists this ribosomal RNA (524 nucleotides) under uncultured sponge symbiont PAUC42. RNAcentral's name for it is "bacterial SSU rRNA". It matches the Rfam family "Bacterial small subunit ribosomal RNA", at positions 9 to 524 of the family's 1533-position model. The record is from RNAcentral.
GAGUUUGAUCCUGGCUCAGAUUGAACGCUGGCGGCAUGCUUAACACACGCAAGUCGAACGGCAGCGCGGGGAGCUUGCUCCCUGGCGGCGAGUGGCGGACGGGUGAGUAACACGUGGGAAUCUGCCUGGUAGUGGGGGACAACCCGGGGAAACUCGGGCUAAUACCGCAUACGCCCUACGGGGGAAAGCGGGGGACCUUCGGGCCUCGCGCUAUCAGAUGAGCCCGCGGCCGAUUAGCUUGUUGGUGAGGUAAUGGCUCACCAAGGCGACGAUCGGUAGCUGGUCUGAGAGGAUGAUCAGCCACACUGGGACUGAGACACGGCCCAGACUCCUACGGGAGGCAGCAGUGGGGAAUAUUGGACAAUGGGCGAAAGCCUGAUCCAGCAAUGCCGCGUGUGUGAAGAAGGCCCUAGGGUUGUAAAGCACUUUCAAUGGGGAAGAAGAGCAGGGUGCCAAUACCACCCUGUGAUGACGUUACCCAUAGAAGAAGCACCGGCUAACUCCGUGCCAGCAGCCGCGGUAAU